Molecule: ribosomal RNA, 332 nt
Filed under: uncultured bacterium
Lineage: Bacteria
Description: bacterial SSU rRNA
Rfam family: Bacterial small subunit ribosomal RNA
Source: RNAcentral
AUUGAACGCUGGCGGCAGGCCUAACACAUGCAAGUCGAGCGGGUAGCACAAGAGAGCUUGCUCUCUGGGUGACGAGCGGCGGACGGGUGAGUAAUGUCUGGGAAACUGCCUGAUGGAGGGGGAUAACUACUGGAAACGGUAGCUAAUACCGCAUAAACGUCUUCGGACCAAAGUGGGGGACCUUCGGGCCUCACGCCAUCAGAUGUGCCCAGAUGGGANAGCUAGUAGGUGGGGUAAUGGCUCACCUAGGCGACGAUCCCUAGCUGGUCUGAGAGGAUGACCAGCCACACUGGAACUGAGACACGGUCCAGACUCCUACGGGAGGCAGCAGU